AGUGAACGCUGGCGGUAGGCCUAACACAUGCAAGUCGAACGGCAGCACAGGAGAGCUUGUUCUCUGGGUGGCGAGUGGCGGACGGGUGAGGAAUACAUCGGAAUCUACUCUGUCGUGGGGGAUAACGUAGGGAAACUUACGCUAAUACCGCAUACGACCUACGGGUGAAAGCAGGGGACCUUCGGGCCUUGCGCGAUUGAAUGAGCCGAUGUCGGAUUAGCUAGUUGGCGGGGUAAAGGCCCACCAAGGCGACGAUCCGUAGCUGGUCUGGGAGGAUGAUCAGCCACACUGGAACUGAGACACGUUCCAGACUCCGACGGGAGGCAGCAGUGGGGAAUAUUGGACAAUGGGCGCAAGCCUGAUCCAGCCAUACCGCGUGGGUGAAGAAGGCCUUCGGGUUGUAAAGCCCUUUUGUUGGGAAAGAAAUCCAGCUGGCUAAUACCCGGUUGGGAUGACGGUACCCAAAGAAUAAGCACCGGCUAACUUCGUGCCAGCAGCCGCCGUAA
This 506-nucleotide ribosomal RNA is filed under the name uncultured bacterium. RNAcentral describes it as "partial 16S ribosomal RNA". It matches the Rfam family "Bacterial small subunit ribosomal RNA", at positions 29 to 523 of the family's 1533-position model. The record is from RNAcentral.